This 552-nucleotide long non-coding RNA is filed under the name Volvox carteri. Its description in RNAcentral is "long non-coding RNA (VCAR_LNC002169)". The record is from RNAcentral. Lineage: Eukaryota; Viridiplantae; Chlorophyta; Chlorophyceae; Chlamydomonadales; Volvocaceae.
ACCUAAGUUGUCCGUGGUGCUGUUUAGCUAUUCAUGCACGCGUUUCGUAGUUGUAUGCUGCGUUGUCAAACAUAUAACUGUUGUGCGGAACGCUUGUCGAAUGUUGGACCUGGUAGGAUGGGCGCGGUCGUUGAGAUUAGUGUUUGACUAGUAUGCGUGAUUGGUACCCAGGAAUGUACUGGACGGAAGGCAUGUUCCUGCUCCCGCGGCGCACUAACAAUGCUGCCAGGCCCCGGCGCGUUGGGGUUGGCAUUGGCCUCCUGGUCAGGUCAUUUUCCUUUUCUCAAGGCUUGGGCAUAGAACUUCCCAAGCACGCCUUCCCCUGGCCUCCCUUGCCAGGCUGGAUUAAGUUCCACCAAGCGCCAACUCCCACGGCUGCCGGCCUUGUGACCUGUUGCAUGGGCAUCGCGCUCCUUUGGAACCUGUACACGCACCGCAAGUGGGGCAAGUACCUACUGCAGGACGAAGCAGCAGAACAGGUGACACACGGAUGCGUGCGGCGGCGAAUGUUCUACCAAUUUCCAUUACCGGUUGCGCCAGACUGCACGUGUA